CUUUUGCUGGCGACCGGCGCACGGGUGAGUAACACGUAUCCAGCCUGCCCUCUACUCGGGGAUAGCCUUUCGAAAGAAAGAUUAAUACCCGAUAGCAUAAUGAUUCCGCAUGGUUUCAUUAUUAAAGGAUUCCGGUAAAGGAUGGGGAUGCGUUCCAUUAGGUUGUUGGUGGGGUAACGGCCCACCAAGCCUUCGAUGGAUAGGGGUUCUGAGAGGAAGGUCCCCCACAUUGGAACUGAGACACGGUCCAA
This 251-nucleotide ribosomal RNA is filed under the name uncultured bacterium. RNAcentral's name for it is "partial 16S ribosomal RNA". It matches the Rfam family "Bacterial small subunit ribosomal RNA", at positions 78 to 334 of the family's 1533-position model. The record is from RNAcentral.